UUAGGUUGGUGCAAAAGCAAUUGUGGUUUUUGCCAUUGAAAGUAAUGGCAAGAGCAUCAAUUACUUUUGCAUCACCCUAAUAAAA
This is a microRNA precursor of Cebus imitator (Panamanian white-faced capuchin), 85 nucleotides long. Lineage: Eukaryota; Metazoa; Chordata; Mammalia; Primates; Cebidae. The record is from Ensembl.